This 548-nucleotide ribosomal RNA is filed under the name uncultured archaeon. Its description in RNAcentral is "bacterial SSU rRNA". It matches the Rfam family "Archaeal small subunit ribosomal RNA", at positions 876 to 1429 of the family's 1478-position model. The record is from RNAcentral.
GCACCACAAGAGGUGGGACCUGCGGUUCAAUUGGAUUCAGCGCCGGAAAACUCACCAGGGGCGACAGUUGGAUGAAAGCCAGGUUGACGACCUUGCCCGACUAGCUGAGAGGUGGUGCAUGGCCAUCGUCAGCUCGUACCGUGAGGCGUCCUGUCAAGUCAGGCAACGAGCGAGAUCCUCGCCCUUAGUUGCCAUCGGUGGAAAAGCCGGGCACUCUAGGGGGACCGCUGGCGCUAAGUCAGAGGAAGGAGAGGGCGACGGUAGGUCAGUAUGCCCCGAAUCCCCUGGGCUACACGCGGGUCACAAUGCGCAGGACAAUGAGAUGCAACCCCGUGAGGGGAAGCCAAACCCAUAAACCUGCGCUCGGUUCGGAUCGAGGGCUGUAACCCGCCCUCGUGAAGCUGGAAUCUCUAGUAAUCGCGUGCCAACACCGCGCGGUGAAUGCGUCCCUGCUCCUUGCACACACCGCCCGUCAAGCCACUCGAGUGGGGUUUGGAUGAGGUCAGCUCAAGUUGGGUUGCUCGAAUCCGAGUUCUGCAAGAGGGGCU